UCGAUUAUUCAUUUCAAUCGUAACUUCCAACAUAUUCGUAAAGUCUCCUCGAAAAACAAUUAUUCGCCACAGUCAUUCGUCACAACGCUACUGUCAUCGUUCGAGAUAUUUUUAUUUCACUGCACUCACUCCACUCGUAGAAUCUUCUUUUCCACCUCAAAUGAAACGAUAAUCUCGGACUAUCUAAAACUUCCGCGAACAUAAUUCUCAAAAAAGUUACCGGAACAUGAUAUUCGUUUUAUAUUCGCGCGAUAACUGUUGCACUGUGAAUAUGCACGAGGAAAACGCUAAUCGCAAGCGAGAUGAACUUUAGCAAGGAGAUGCGUGUUCACGUUUGGAUGAUCGUAAUUGUCGGUCGCUCGAUUUCGAAACGAAAGUAGAUCAAUCUGCAUUAUGACUUACGAGUUACGAGGCACUGUCGACGCGAGCACGAGGACAAACUAAGAGGUGGCUCGAAGCGAAACUGUCGAGAAUUUGUCAGCGAGAGUGAGAAGGAAAGAAAUCGAUUGUCUUGCGAUAUCUUCGCGCGCUUUAAAUGCGAGGCACCAGGCCCGUAUCUGCCGAUCGAAGCGCCCUGGUCUUUCCAAACAUUCGAUUCUAAUUUUCUAAUAUUACUUUUUUUCUUAUAUUUAUUUAUCUUUAUAUGUAUGCUUAUUGUUUUAUUAUUUUAUAAUGUUUUUGGUAUAAUUAAUUUUUAAACUGUUAUCGUAAUUAUUAUCAAGUGUUAAUAAUUAACGAUGUUUAUGUACAAUUAAUAGAAUUUUGUCUCAAUAGGAUUUUGAUGAAUUCCAGAAUUGAAACAAAAUACGAUGUAUAUUUUUAUACAUAUUAAAUUGAAAUUAUCAUAGUUAAACAUCUUCCUACCAUUAACGUCGUCGAUUAUCUAUUCAUGGUCACCUAUCGAUUUUUAAAUAUCUUUAGAACACGCCAAUGAUACAAAUUUCCCCGUAAAAUUGUAUUUUUACGUUUCGUGUCACGAUAGAAUAAAAGAAUCAAGAAUUUUACAAAUACUUCUGUUCCUAUCCUUUCGAUUAUCCUCUGCACUAUGUCACCAACAAUACUCUCAAUUUAUUACUUUCCAUUUCACCAUUUGUAUCUAAUUUGCAUUUUACUAUUCCAAUUUUUCAAAAUUCUGUAUAAAAAUUUAUAUCAAAGAAGUCCGUUUUAACGAUAUCGUAUGUCAAAUAAUCUUUCAAUAAAAUAUUUAAUAAAAUUAUUUUUUAUAUUUAAUAAAAGCAUUAUUUAAUAUAAGCAAUAUUUAAUAAAAAGCAGGCCGUGAAUUGGUGUCCAAAACAAGGAACAUCUUUAAUUACAUUUUCGCGAGUAAAGAGCGCAGUUUUUCGUACGCGAAUCAACGAGCCAAGGUAGUUGGUUCGCCGCGUGUUGCACAAAACCGAUUCUUUUUUCGUAACCAGUCACACGAUAUCUCGUGUGUGUGCAAAUCAGAUUUGAUCGUGGUCGACGAUAGUUUGGCAAACAUAGUUUGGCGUACGAGCGCUUGUUCAGUUCGUAUUACUCGAGGAAAACGAAUUCUACGUUUUCCUUCUCUUGCAGUCUGUUCGAAUCAGAGACGUGAGAAACGUUGUAUACCAUCUGGACAGAAAUUUGAAAAACUGAAAAUGUCGAUGUCUGAAGGAUCGAGAAAUUUAGAAAAUUUUGGUGAUUUGGAAAUAUAGAAAUUCGAAAGUUUCUUUCUUUAAAUCCGCAAGAGAUUCACAAUGGAAAAUUUGUCCUCACCGUUACCGCUUGCUUACGUAAACUCGAAAUGACCACGUGGAAGGAACUGCGCCGCGACCAAAGGGACCAAGUAAUAAUAAAAAGUCAUGCAAGCAAUGCAGCAAGCAUCAAGCAAUGCAAUGUGUCACUUCGAGAAACGUUACAAGUCACGGAUUGUGAGUAUUUUCAAGAAAAGGUCCCUUUUUAUGAAAUAUUCAUGCGUGGAUAUAAAUAAGCGGAGGGACGAUUUAUUCAUACGAAACGUUACGUUCAUUAUACAAGCUAUACAUCACGAAUUAUCGUCGUGUUACUAUUUUAUUGCACGUCAUCGUACACGCUUAUCAUUGGCGCCUUAUUCUACAUGUGUAUGUAUACACGUACGCUACCGUUCAAAAGAUCAGUUAGACUUAAAUACGUAUGUCUAUACGAUAUAUGUGAAGGAAUAUUGAUAAAAAAUAGAUUUUCUUAUUGGAAAAGAUUAUUACGAGCAUUCGUAGCUAUUUUGGAAGUCGAAAUUGAUAAAUUGAUAUUACGAUCGUCCUCUACACUUGAAAGUAAUAUUAUUUUAAUUUGAAAUAAAUUUUAAAUAGUGGAAACAAUUGUAGCAAUUAAUUAAAAUUAUAAUAGGAAAUAAAUUUAAUUUUUGAAUAGUAUAAUAGUGUACAUGUGUACAUUGCCUACAUGCAUUAGACACGCGUUAUAUACGUAGAGCGUGUUGAAGCAGCGUUUGAAUAAUAAUAUUUUAAUGAAAGGAAAUUGUGUCACACGAUCAACGUCACAACAGCUAACCGUGUCUUCCAUUUUUCAUUGUACUAGUAAUUUGGAGCGUUCCGCGUGAUACAGUGGAUAAAUUGGUGUCACUUAAUGGGCAAAUCAAUAGUUGUUAACGAUUGGCGAGAUCGUUCCCUUCCUUAACGGUAUUUCUCGUGGAAUCUUUGGAGAAAAGAAGCUACUAUGAACUCGACGUGCAAUUUCUAAAGAGAACCGCGUGUUAUCGAAUGAAGAGUACAAUGGUGCCCCAUAGUGAUGGGGAGGAAGCGAACGAGGCAGCGCGACCUAUAUUUCGUUUGCACGCGAAACGAUAAAUCAAAAGUUUCGCCUUCGAGAUGAUCACGUUUUUCUUUAACUCGCUUAUAAAUAAGGUGUCUGUACCAAGAUAAGAAGGAAGAAACUUCUUUACUAGCAAAAUACAAAUAAUAAAACUUCAUAAAUAGUUUGAGCAACUGUUACAAGAAAUUUCGCUGUCCUAAUGUCUUCCUGUAAUAAGAAUGCUUAAUUGAUUUGAUUAAUGAACGAAGAUUUAGUAAGACGGUAAAACGAAGAUGUCUUAAAAUGGGAUCAAAUAAGUUACAAAGAAAAUGUUCGUAAAAAGAACAUCGCAAAUGAAGCACUCUUUCGAUAAAGAAUGAUUUUGAAUAUUACUAUGAAGAUAAAGUAGGAAACGGAGAAGUGUUGAUAAAGAAGAUUUCUAUAGUGAGAUGUACCGCUGGAGCAUUUAAAAACCUUUCUUUGUAAUAAUUUGUAAUAAUUGAAAAAAAAAAUAAUAUUAACAGAGAACUCUUUAAGUUAAUAAAUUUAAUAGUAGAUCAAGCAAAACAAACAGCUUCUGUCUGCCUGGGCUGAAAAAAUUCCUAGAUUAACGACUGUUGACCAUCGUCAAUAUUGUUAUACAAGACAAACAGUAGCAUUAUAGACGGUAAUCCAUAUAGAUCGAAGAAAACGGUGUUAACACAGAAUAAAGACUUUAUGACGAUAGUCUAAUAAAAAUCCCUAAAUCAACAUUCAAUAAACGAUCUGCACAUAACAAACAACAUCAAUAUCAAAACAACCUUAAUCCACUUUAUUAUCGAAGCAACACGUCAGCUUAGCAAACACACGGUAAUCUCGCGUCACCUACCAAAGCUCCCUACAUUAACUCCCUACUAAACUUCUCGUUGACCAAAUCGAUUACGAAAGCGUGCUGGAAAAAAGAUCUUUCGAAAAUCCACUUUCAACUUCCAACUCCCUUAAGCAAUUUUUCCACAUCUACUCAGCAGAUCCUAAGAAUUACUUCAGCAGCCCGAACUACUGUUAUCAGAAGCUAGUGGCAACCAAAGUUCUCCCCAUUCUAAUACCUAAACCUCUUAACCAAAUUUUCCACGUAUAUCCCGAGAUUUCAGCUAUCAUCCCAGCCACAAACAGCCACUGAUGCCUAUCUGGCUUUAACCUAGCAGAAAUUCAUGAAGCGUAUUUACAGUAUUUACGCUGCAACCAAAACCCACCUGGUUCUAAUUCCUAAACCAACCUACUCGAGCUCCUCGAAUCUACCAAAACAGCCCGAAUAACCAUCUUAACACCUCCUAAUGGCUGGUCAGUUUUAACUCAUUCGCAUUAGCGUGCCGUGACACGUUCCACUUUUCUGGGCGUAUAUACGCCGGCCGGCCGCGCGUCACAGAACGAGCGAGAUCGAGGCGAGCAAGGCUGACGACGAUUGAAAAAAGAAAGGAUGAAAGAAGGGAAAAAAGCGCGAGUCUCAGGGGUCGGGAGUUAAGUGGUCGAAACAGAGCCACGGAGGGGCGGCUGCAGAGAUUCCCUGAUACGCACCUGGCCACGCGCAUUUCAGGGCAUCGGUGACGUCAAACCAGGGGGCUAGAGGUUGUUGAUUACGUCACUGGCCCCAGCCAGCCUCCAACACCACGGCAUCGAUCAGUUCGACCAAUGGUGGGGAUAGAAGCUACGCUUGUGACAGUGGUGGGGGGUAGCGAGUCGAGGAAAUAUCAGUAAUAGCCAGCUCCCGCGGUCUAUUAAUUAAAUUUUUGAUUAGUCGACGAUAUUUCAGCAUUCUCCCCACUCCUCUACUCUUCUCUCCUUCUCUUUGCGUUUCAUCGUCUCGCUUCCUCUCACGAUCUCCCGAGAGAUGUGACGCGGGUUGCAGUUGCCAGGCGAAACUAGAUUUUUCGGUAACGGGCAAUUAUCUUGCCUUAAGUCAAACAAUGGGGAUGCGAUAUUGAUAUUCGAGAGUGUGAAUUUUGUUGGAAAGAGUACGAUUGUGUUUUAGGAAAUUAUUUUUAACCAGAGAGUCUGGCAAAUGUGCGUUCAAAAGUUAAUUCGUAUCUUAGCACGAUAUUAUGCAAGUAUUUUUUAAUUAAUUUAUACCUUCGUGCGGUAUAUUGGUAAAAAAAUGAAAUAAAUAUAAUUCGUAAUUUAGAUCGAUAAUAUAAUAUUGUUUAUAUCGCGGUACGAUAUAUCUGCAAAAUCUCCAAAAUAUUCGGAAUGGAAUUUUCUUUUCGAGAAAAUCGCGGAGUCUCAGGAGAUUUUUAAAACGUACAAAUAACAUCGAAACGCGCAUUUUUUUCGCAAAUGGAAAUGUCGAUCGAGAGUUUACUCGCGAGUGGUUGAAUCCAAGCAAACAAGAAAGGAGAGUGGAGGGGAGUAAAAAUUGAACAGAACUGUUCGAAUCGACUCGAGUGGACCAGGAGAUGCGAGACUCUUCCGCCAACAACGUUCCUUUUAUCAUCGACUUUUCUUCCUCCUAUUUCGGUCUCCCAUUACAGUUUUCGUUCGUAAAAUUCGCGCGAGGCUCGGCUCAACUUUUGACAGGUCCCUCGCCGAUACGAUUGUUCGUCAGCCUUGCAAAUCAUCCCAAACUUUGUAUUAUUAUUAUUUUUGUAUCGUAAAAUUUCACAUUCGCGAAUUGUUGCUAACGAUGCGACGUUCAUACUUUCCGAACAUAAUGUUUUCCCAUUGUCGUGAAUUUUCGAAAUCGCUAGAAUUGUGUGAAUUUUGAACACUUCAAUAUUCAGGCUUUUUCCAUUAAUUCAACUAACCGUAUUAAUAAAGUUUAAUAAGUUAGAAAUUACAACGUAACAAUGCUAGCAGUUUAUUCUGUAUUUUUCAAAGCGUUAGAAAAUUCAUUUUUCUAAGUAAAUUUACGAUUUUAUAAAUCAUAAGUCAGCUCAUUUUACGUCUUUUUAACCUUCCAGCGUCGCCGAUUAAAAAUAAUUUUCUAUAUUUAUAAAGAAGUUUGGAGAAUCAUCCGAGUGUCUGACUUAUAUCGACUUAUUCUACUGUCGUUCUCCUUAGCCAGGGAUACUUGAUUUAAUCAGGAACAAUUCCACCGUUUCUAUCGAAUCAAACGAGACAUUUCUAUGUGUGGAAUGGAAUGGUGUUAAAUUUUUGAUGAGAGGAAUCGCGUUUAAUGUAUACAGCAUAAAUUGAAAUAGCAUAAAAAAGUACUUGAGUAAUGCAAGUAAUAUUUUAGCACCCUUUAGCGUGUUUAUGGCAAUGACAUUUAAUGUUUCAAAGAUCGUGUCGUUUAUCAUCUUGUUUGCCAUAUAUCUGAGGAAACGAUUGCGAAUAAAAUUGCAGUCGAUAAAGUGCAUAUUCAACGCUGCUUUUCUCUUCGCGUGUUAGAUGGACGAAAAAAAAACUCUGCUGAAAUUACUCGGAUCAUUUUUCUUCAUUUUCAUUGCCAACAAAAAACCAACAACGACACAUUCACAAAUGCAAAGGUGAUUUUCCAUUGAAUAUCGAGCCACGUAUUACAAAAAGUGGACAAAAUUUCUAUUCGAUAAGAAUAAACUUCCUUCUUUUC
Molecule: long non-coding RNA, 6289 nt
Organism: Bombus huntii
Lineage: Eukaryota; Metazoa; Arthropoda; Insecta; Hymenoptera; Apidae
Exons: 3
Source: RefSeq, a predicted model, not a curated record